GUGUCAGCCGCCGCGGUAAUACGGAGGGUGCAAGCGUUGUCCGGAUUUAUUGGGUUUAAAGGGUGCGUAGGUGGGUAUUUAAGUCUGGUUUGAAAGCAGGUGGCUCAACCAUCUGAUGUGGCUGGAAACUGGAUAUCUUGAAUGGGUUGGCGGUAGCCGGAAUGGGUCAUGUAGCGGUGAAAUGCAUAGAUAUGACCCGGAACACCGAUUGCGAAGGCAGGCUACUACGACUUGAUUGACACUGAGGCACGAGAGCAUGGGUAGCGAACAGGAUUAGAUACCCGCGUAGUCC
This 292-nucleotide ribosomal RNA is filed under the name uncultured bacterium. RNAcentral describes it as "partial 16S ribosomal RNA". It matches the Rfam family "Bacterial small subunit ribosomal RNA", at positions 505 to 796 of the family's 1533-position model. The record is from RNAcentral.